Molecule: ribosomal RNA, 468 nt
Filed under: uncultured bacterium
Lineage: Bacteria
Description: partial 16S ribosomal RNA
Rfam family: Bacterial small subunit ribosomal RNA
Source: RNAcentral
GACGAACGCUGGCGGCGUGCUUAACACAUGCAAGUCGAACGGAAAGGCCCUGCUUUUGUGGGGUGCUCGAGUGGCGAACGGGUGAGUAACACGUGAGUAACCUGCCCUUGACUUUGGGAUAACUUCAGGAAACUGGGGCUAAUACCGGAUAGGAGCUCCUGCUGCAUGGUGGGGGUUGGAAAGUUUCGGCGGUUGGGGAUGGUCUCGCGGCUUAUCAGCUUGUUGGUGGGGUAGUGGCUUACCAAGGCUUUGACGGGUAGCCGGCCUGAGAGGGUGACCGGCCACAUUGGGACUGAGAUACGGCACAGACUCCUACGGGAGGCAGCAGUGGGGAAUAUUGCACAAUGGGCGGAAGCCUGAGGCAGCAGCGCCGCGUGCGGGAUGACGGCCUUCGGGUUGUAAACCGCUUUCGCCUGUGACGAAGCGUGAGUGACGGUAAUGGGUAAAGAAGCAACGGCUAACUACGUG